GCUGACGUAGCUCAACUGGCAGAGCAGCCGCCUUGUAAGCGGCAGGUUGAGGGUUCGAAUCCCUCCGUCAGCUCCU
This 76-nucleotide transfer RNA is filed under the name Gemmatimonadales bacterium. RNAcentral describes it as "tRNA-Thr". It matches the Rfam family "tRNA". Rfam says of the family: Transfer RNA (tRNA) molecules are approximately 80 nucleotides in length. Their secondary structure includes four short double-helical elements and three loops (D, anti-codon, and T loops). Further hydrogen bonds mediate the characteristic L-shaped molecular structure. tRNAs have two regions of fundamental functional importance: the anti-codon, which is responsible for specific mRNA codon recognition, and the 3' end, to which the tRNAs corresponding amino acid is attached (by aminoacyl-tRNA synthetases). tRNAs cope with the degeneracy of the genetic code in two manners: having more than one tRNA (with a specific anti-codon) for a particular amino acid; and 'wobble' base-pairing, i.e. permitting non-standard base-pairing at the 3rd anti-codon position. The record is from RNAcentral. Lineage: Bacteria; Pseudomonadati; Gemmatimonadota; Gemmatimonadia; Gemmatimonadales.